This 468-nucleotide ribosomal RNA is filed under the name uncultured bacterium. RNAcentral's name for it is "bacterial SSU rRNA". It matches the Rfam family "Bacterial small subunit ribosomal RNA", at positions 917 to 1382 of the family's 1533-position model. The record is from RNAcentral.
GGACCCGCACAAGCGGUGGAGCAUGUGGCUUAAUUCGAUGCAACGCGAAGAACCUUACCUGGGCUUGACAUGGUGGUCGUAGACUUGUGAAAGCUUGUCGUCACUUCGGGUGGACCAUCACAGGUGCUGCAUGGCUGUCGUCAGCUCGUGUCGUGAGAUGUUGGGUUAAGUCCCGUAACGAGCGCAACCCCUAUGAACUGUUGCCAGCGGGUAAUGCCGGGGACUCUGUUCAGACUGCCCAGAUUAACUGGGAGGAAGGAGGGGAUGACGUCAAGUCAGUAUGGCCCUUACGCCCAGGGCUGCACACGUGCUACAAUGUCCAGUACAAUGUGAACCGAUACCGCGAGGUGGAGGAAAUCCUUAAAACUGGGCUCAGUUCGGAUUGUAGGCUGCAACUCGCCUACAUGAAGUUGGAAUCGCUAGUAAUGCUGCAUCAGCUACGGCAGCGUGAAUACGUUCCCGGGUCUU